UGCCUUGGUAAAAUGUCCCCCUUUAAAUAAAUACUUGGCUUAAUUCCAGGAGUAAAUAAUGUCGCUAAACAGCGCGGAUAAAGCAAAAAUCGUUGAAGAAUACAAACGUGGUGAU
This is a regulatory RNA element of Legionella waltersii, 115 nucleotides long. It matches the Rfam family "Ribosomal S15 leader". From Rfam's summary of the family: The E. coli Ribosomal S15 gene 5' UTR can form two alternative structures. One that is a series of three hairpins, The other includes a pseudoknot. The record is from Rfam. Lineage: Bacteria; Pseudomonadati; Pseudomonadota; Gammaproteobacteria; Legionellales; Legionellaceae.